CAGGUAUUAGUUUAAAAAAAUUUUAAUUUUGGAGAUUAAAGAUAAAAGUUUAUUUUAUAUCUGA
Molecule: transfer RNA, 64 nt
Filed under: Cassena terminalis
Lineage: Eukaryota; Metazoa; Arthropoda; Insecta; Coleoptera; Chrysomelidae
Description: tRNA-Pro
Source: RNAcentral